Molecule: long non-coding RNA, 463 nt
Filed under: Helianthus annuus (common sunflower)
Lineage: Eukaryota; Viridiplantae; Streptophyta; Magnoliopsida; Asterales; Asteraceae
Source: RNAcentral
CACAAAACAAGUUUAACAAGUUUUACACCAUUACUUUCCUUUUAUCCAUUAAGUUCAUCAUUUUACAAGACUUUUAGUUGGUGAUCUUUAGUGUUUAUGAUUUUUAGCCAUUAAAUCAUCUAUUAACCAUCAUAAACAAGAACAAGAAGAUGUUUAGAAGCACUUACUACUAGCACAAGGCUAGGGGAGUUCAAGAGGACAAAAGAGGUGGAUAAAAGCAAAUGAAGAAGAGGUGGAUAAAAGCAAAUGAAGAAGGUCCUUCAAGAUCCGCUUGCACCGAGCUUCGUUAGUGGCCUUCUUACUCCUCAAUAUCACCUUGGAAUGGAUGGAUGAUGUUGGAAAAUGAGGGUGGCGGUGGUGCUUGGUUGGGCCGAGAACAAGGGAGGGAGAGAGGGAAGUGAAGAUGGAGUGAUGGAAUGGUGGUAUUUAUAGACCUUCCAUAUAGCAUAUUCCUAGCAUAUUC